GAUCCUGGCCUCAGGAUGAACGCUAGCUACAGGCUUAACACAUGCAAGUCGAGGGGAAACGACAUCGAAAGCUUGCUUUUGAUGGGCGUCGACCGGCGCACGGGUGAGUAACGCGUAUCCAACCUGCCCAUCACUUGGGAAUAACCUUGCGAAAGUAAGACUAAUACCCAAUGAUAUCCCACGAAGGCAUCCGAAUGGGAUUAAAGAUUUAUCGGUGAUGGAUGGGGAUGCGUCUGAUUAG
Molecule: ribosomal RNA, 241 nt
Filed under: uncultured bacterium
Lineage: Bacteria
Description: partial 16S ribosomal RNA
Rfam family: Bacterial small subunit ribosomal RNA
Source: RNAcentral